CUGCGAUUGUCGAUGGCAUUGUGCCAAUUGAUGAUCCAGCGCGGCAAGGGUUGGGACCAGAGGACUAGAUCGAGAUCGUCCGACGCAUUGUUCAUAGACGGACGGCGGCAACGGCGGUCCGGCCAUGGAAGGGGCCGAUUCCAAAGGUAAUUCUACCAAAACCUACCUUGUCCGAUUUCUUCACAGAAGGUUCGUGGAAAGUAGUGAAGAGGAAGAAGUCUCGGCGAUCGUCGGCGGCGCAGGCGCCGCCGCCGGCGAUCGACAGAGCAGCCGUGAUCCAGGCCAAUCGGAUCUCGCGUUUGAAUUCGCUGCUUAGCGCUAAUGGGCUUCGUGAGGGCCCGUCCGCUAACAGACCUUUGGGCCAAGGGAAUGAGCUUUGGGAUGGGCCGGGAUUAGCUGGGUUUCGGACCCAGGCAAAACCGGUGGCCAUCGGAGUGCACGGGAUCGCAUCGGAUCGGGAGCUAUCUCAUGCACGUGCAUCGCCUCGCUGCCGAUACGUUGUUUCUAGGGUUCGCCGCCGUGGUAACGUCGGCUUUCCUGCUGCCUUGGUUCGACGUGUGCGGCGGGGGAAUCAGUUCUGUUGUGGCGGUCCGGUGGUAGCCGGCGAGGAAGACAUGCCGCCCAAGGCCCCGCCGCCGGCCAAAGGACCUCCUCCGGCGAAGCCGCCUGCGAGGGCCGAGCAAGGGGGUCCAGCAGCGGUUGUGCCGCCCUUGACUGCGGCUACGGCGCCAGCGCCGGCUACGACGGCCCCAGCCAGGGCUGCAGGGACUGCGCCGGUUGCGACGGCCACCGCCAGGGCUGCGGCGCCGCCACCGCAUGGGGCCGCGCCACCUCCGAUGCAGCGGCCGUGGCCUCGUCAAAUGGCGGCCGGGCGGGGAGGAGCUGCCACCGGUGCCGCCGGCGCGGGACGGGUGCGUUUGCGGGGGACAGCCGCAACCCUCCACGUGGUCAGUGGGGCGAUGAUGGAUACGAUGCUUAUGGACAGGGUCUUCAUCGGGGUUCUCGUCUACCGGUGGUGGGCGAGGUUAUGCUUGGACAGAUCAUGGUACUGCUGGCCAUGGUUUUCAAGGGCGGCCGGGGAACUUUGUUGAGGGCGCGGUUGGCCCGACCCGCUUCCGGGGCCGCUUCCGUGGUGGUCGUGGUGGCUAUCAGCGUCCUCCGCGUAACCUGCCUGGUGCCACGGGUUCAUAUGAUACUGAGAUGUCCACUGAUGUUGCUGGUCUAAAUCAGGCGGUGGUGGAGACGGCUAAGGCUCUCGCCGAUGUGUCUGUACCGAUGAUCGUGCAACCGGAUGAAACUGAGUCUGAUAAAGGUUCGGAGAAGGCCGGAGGUGACAAGCUGUCCAAGUGGGCGGCUAAGAAGAAAAAACUUGUCUGUUUCCGGUGCGGGGAGACGGGUCACUUCAUGGUUGAUUGCUCUGCUGAGUUAUGUGAUAUUUGUCGGAAACCUAAGCAUGUGGCGGCUGAGUGUCCGCUUCUUCUCGGCCCCAAACCGACACUUAAUAUCUAUGGGCUAUGUUGCUCGGAGUUGAUGUUCUUCGAGUCACCAUACGUGGCUCCGGUGGCCCCUGUCAUUGAAACCUCCUUCCUGGGGUGGUUAAGGUGGUCACUGGACCGCUCAUUGAAGCACAUAUUAUUCAGCAGUUAAGGGAGUUGGCUUCGGGGAAUUUCAAAUGGUCUUUAUUGAAACUUUCAGAUAAGUCUUACAAAGUGGAUUUCCCCUCUAAAGAGGAUCAGAAGAGCAUUCUAAAGUUUGGUAUGAGUCGGGUUACAGGAACUAGCUUCGUGUUGCAGUUUGAUGAGUGGAAAAAGAAGGAGCCACAGGGCACCCCUCUGACCCAGAUCUGGGUUCGUUUUUCGGGGGCACCCUCAGAGCCCUUGGAUGAUUUCUUUGUCACAUGGAGCUUGGGGUCCUUGCUCGAUAAGACGGAGCAGGUGGAUAUGCCCUUCACUCGUGCUCACGGUGUGGCUCGCUUGCUGGUUAGUGUGGCUAACAUUCAGUUCUUGCCGGACGUGGUCAGAUGGUGUCAUGAGGGUAUUGCUUACAUGUUGAAUGUCGAGUAUGAGGACCCGGACUUGUUUUAGGAUUUUGAGGAGGUGCUUCCUAUGGAUACUUCUGAGGGGGGAGGCGCUUCUGGAAACCAUGGAGAUGAUGCACCUAGUGAUGGUGACAGGGGUUCCAGGCCUGUGGAUUCGUCUAAGCCAGCAGAGUCGGCUCAGGGGAAAAUGCCGGUUUCAGCACCGUCCAACAUGCUUCAACUUGGUUCUGUAGGCGCCCCCUCAUCUUUGGAGUGAUCGUGUGGAUCUGGACGACCCGUCUGAGCAUGUGCCUCCGGUGAUUUCGGAGGUCGUGUGCGUUGAUGGUCCGGAAGGAUUAGCUGCACAGGAGGUUCACGCUUAUCCUCCUUCAUCGCCGGUGCCUCGGCAGGUGGUGAUGACUUAGCAGGAAGACUCGGCGGAGUUGGCUGGGAGUGCGGUCAGGCCCUCUCCUACCUUGCCAGCGCCUUGUUCGAUGGAGCUCAAGGCCCGCACAACUCCCUCUACCUCCGAGGCGGGUGGUGCCAUGCUGGGAGGGUCGGCCGCGGGGGGUGCUUCACCGACUAUUACUGCUACUGUGGCUCGGGCGGCGUCAUCUCUUUAUGUCGCCGGUGUGGCUGAGCAGGUGGUGGUCGGCUCGCCGGCCCCCGUUCUAGGUGGGCUGGGUGGCGCGACAGCUGCUACUGCCUCCUCACCGGUGAGCGUCGUGUGGGCGGUUCCGGAGCCAGCUGAUGGCGGGUCGCCCGUGGACGGGCUGCCGGUGUCGCCGCAUCGCUCUUCUCCUACUCUGGUGCCCGCGACCCGAGACGCCGGUGUGGGGGGAUGGGUGGGCGGCCCUUCCCCUUGCAGGGCUUCUCGCGAGGAGGUCAUCGCCUUUGGGGGUAUCCCGGACUUUGCUACCCAGGGGGGGCGGAUCAGCGGGAGGCUGCAGGAGCAGCCGGACGUCGAUGAUAUACAACUGAGGUGUGCAUUGAGGGCUGCCAAGUUGCAUAACUUCGAGACCUCCACCGGUAUGUCUGUUAUUAAGUCAAAUUCCAUUUUGCAUUUCUCUGAUAAUGAAAUCAUACAUAAUGCAAAUCAAUUAGGAAUUUCACUUGGUAAUAAUGAUCAUCAAAUUGCCAAAUCGGUUAAUGACAUUCUUGAUUUGGAAGCUGAGCGUGCGGUAGAUAUGAUUCGUCACAUUGCCGCAGUUAAACCUAUAAAUGAUUCGGAGAUUGAUGCGCUUGGGGUGAGGGUUCUUGAUGACAUGUGUGCCGAUCUUGACCCUGCAUGUCUAGAGACAGAGGAUGAUACCAAUCCUCAGACGUCUCUUCAUGUAGAUGAGCCUUUAGUGCUUGAUGCGGAGAAUGAGGGUGGUGACAUGGUUAAUGGUCAAACAAAGCCUAAGCGGACAUGGAAGCGAAAGGUCUAUCCAGUCUCCGCAGUGCGUAGGAGUGCUAGGAUCCGUACUGUCAAAAACUUUCAUGAUGACUUAUGAAAGGCAUUUUCUGGAAUAGCAGAGGUCUUAGAGACUUGGCUAAAAGGAGGUUUCUAGCGGAUGCUUCACUCGAACAUCAUUUAGAUUUUAUUGCUUUGUCUGAGACUGGAAGAAGCAAUUUCACAUCUCAAUUUCUUGCCACUUUGUCUGGGGGGUAGACUUUGAUUGGCAUUGCCUCCCACCUCGAGGAAGAUCCGGCGGGGUCUUACUUGGGGUUAAGUGUGAUACGUUGGAAGUCCGGAGUGUAGUCAUGGGCGAGUUUGCUGUUAAGUUUCGAGUUAGAACUAAGGCAGAUGGGUUUGAUUGGGCCUUGGUGGCAGUUUACGGAGCUGCUCAACCAGAACUCAAGCCAGAUUUUUUGGCGGAUCUGGUGCGCAUCUGUGGUAAUGAACAGCUACCUCUCUUAGUGGGCGGGGAUUUCAACAUAAUCCGAAGGCAAGAGGACAAGAAUAAUGCCAAUUUUGACGGUAGAUGGCCGUUUAUGUUCAAUACUAUCAUCGAAAGUUUGGAUCUCAGAGAGAUCCAGCUUUCGGGUAGGAAAUUCACUUGGGCUAAUUCGUUACCGGUUCCCACUUUUGAGAAACUGGACCGCGUGCUAGCUAGUGUCGAGUGGGAACAGAAGUUUCCCUUGGUAAUGGUGCACGCUUUGACCCAAGGUGUCUCGGAUCAUACACCGUUACUAGUCGACUCCGGAGUUCGAAAUUUCGUGGGUAACAAGAACAUUUUCUCGUUUGAACUUGCAUGGUUUGAAAGAGAAGGGUUCCUCGAGAUGUUAGCUAGAGAGUGGGCUAAGGACUCGGGAGGGAGGUCACCUAUCGACAGGUGGCAAUCCAAGAUUCGUCAUCUCCGACGGUUCCUUCGUGGCUGGGCUAAACACACGCAUGGGAUUUAUAAGGUGGAGAAGGAGCGACUCCUUCUGAUUAUUCAAAACCUCGAAGCUAAAGCAGAAACUUCUAUCUUGGAUUCCAAUGAGUUGGAAACAAAGAUAGAUGCAGAGAUGCAGCUUAAAAAGCUUCUCCGUGAGGAGGAAUUGAAGUGGGCAUUGCGAGCCAAGGUUUGCAAAAUCGUAGAAGGCGAGGAUAACACUCAAUUCUUUCACAUGAUCGCUAAUGGGAAGCAUCGUAAAAAGAGAAUCUUCCAACUAGAACAAGAUGAAGGGACGAUAGUUGGUCAGGACAAUCUCAAAGAUUACAUCACCAAUUAUUAUAAGCAGUUGUUUGGUCCCCCGGUAGAGACUUUCGUGUCGAUGGAUGAGUCUAGGGUUGAGGAUGUGCCUCAGCUAGAGACUGCCGAGAAUGAGCUCUUGACUGCUCUGUUCUCGGAGAAAGAGGUGUUUGAGGCUAUUACUCAGAUGGAGAAUAAUAAGGCCCCAGGACCGGAUGGGUUUCCGGCAGAGUUUUAUAAGAAGUGUUGGCAUUUUAUCAAGGGAGAUUUGAUGCCCAUGUUUCAGGAGUUUUUUGAGGGACAACUUCAAUUGUUUAAACUAAAUUUUGGGACAAUAACCCUUCUUCCUAAGAAGACUGAGGCUGUUCGGAUUGAGCAGUUUAGACCCAUAUGUCUGCUAAAUGUGAGUUUUAAAAUCUUCACCAAGGUGGGGACAAAUAGGCUUACACAAAUAGCACACUCAGUAGUUCAGCCAUCCCAGACUGCUUUCAUACCGGAUAGAAACAUCCUGCAAGGGGUUGUGGUCUUGCACGAAACGCUCCAUGAAAUCCACUCCAAAAAACUUGAUGGCGUAGUUUUUAAAGUGGAUUUUGAAAGAGCAUAUAAUAAAGUCAAGUGGCCUUUCCUUCAACAAGCGUUGCGUAUGAAAGGUUUUCAUCCGGCCUGGAGAAACCAGAUUGAUUCCUUUACGCAAAAAGGGAGUGUCGGGAUUAAGGUGAAUGAUGACGUGGGUCACUAUUUCCAAACACACAAGGGGCUGCGGCAAGGAGACCCUAUGUCACCGAUCCUGUUUAACAUAGUGGCUGAUAUGCUCACUAUUUUAAUAGGUCGGGCAAAGGAUGCAGGACAGGUAGGUGGCCUGGUUCCACAUCUAGUUGACGGCGGGUUGUCCAUUCUUCAGUAUGCUGAUGAUACAAUCAUUUUUAUGGAGCAUGACUUGGCGAAAGCAAGGAACAUGAAGCUGCUGUUAUGCUUAUUUAAACAAUUGUCUGGGCUUAAAAUCAACUUCCACAAGAGCGAAUUGUUUUGCUUUGGAAGAGCCAAUGAUGAACGGGAGUCGUAUCAACAAUUGUUCGGAUGUGAAUUGGGUUCUUUACCGUUUUCGUAUUUAGGUAUACCCAUUCAUCAUCGUAAGCUAUCUAAUAUUGAGUGGAAAUGUCUUGAGGAUCGGUUUGAAAAGAAACUGAGCUGUUGGAAAGGAAAGCUCAUGUCAUACAGAGGUCGAUUAAUUUUGAUUAAUUCGGUCCUCACUAGUAUGCCUAUGUUUCUCUUAUCCUUUUUCUUGGUUCCGGUCGGAGUUAGGAAAAGGUUAGAUUUCUAUCGAUCUAGAUUCUUUUGGCAAAUUGAUGAGCUUAAACGAAAGUAUAGACUUGCGAAGUGGGACAUUAUAUGCAGACCUAAGGACCAAGGUGGCCUAGGUAUAGAAAAUCUGGAAGUCAAAAACAUAUGUAUCCUUAACAAGUGGCUUUUUAAGCUGUCAUCUGAGACGGAGGCCACUUGGGCUCAGAUUUUGCGCAAUAAGUAUCUCUAUGCUAAAACUCUGGCUCAGGUGAAUGUGAGGUCUUCAGACUCACCAUUUUGGAAGGGUUUGAUGAGAGUUAAGCAACUCUUUUUCAACAGGUCUAAAUUUAUUGUUGGGAAUGGCACAACGACGAGGUUUUGGGAGGAUACGUGGCUUGGGGAGACCCCACUUGCACUUCAAUAUCCUUCUUUGUAUAACAUUGUCCAACGUAGAGAAGCCUAUGUUGCUAAUGUUUUACAAUCCGUCCCCCUCAAUAUCAGUUUUAGACGGACACUAGUUGGAAAUCGUUGGGAGGCCUGGCUCCAUCUUGUUCGACGUUUAAUGGAUGUCUGGCUGUCUCAAUAGCCAGAUCAGCUGCAUUACUAAGAACGGUGUGUUCUCGGUCAAAUCAAUGUAUCUAGAUGUCAUUAACUCUUCCGUCAUCCCCACAUCAUUACAUGUUUGGAAAGUUAAGGUACCCUUGCGUAUCAAAGUGUUUAUGUGGUUUGUGCAUAAACAUGUCAUUUUGACUAAGGAUAACCUUGCAAAACGUAAUUGGGUGGGCUCGUCUCGAUGUAGCUUUUGUGAUCAUAACGAAAACAUUAAAUACCUCUUUCUAGAUUGUCCUUUGGCUAAGAUUCUGUGGCGGUCGGUUCAUAUUGCGUUUAAUAUUGAUCAGCCCACCUCUAUUAGCAUGUUAUUUGGAACAUGGCUUGACGGGGUGGAUUCUGACAUUGCAAGACACAUUCGGGUUGGCGUUUGUGCGCUUUUGUGGGCAAUAUGGAACUGCAGGAAUGACUUAGUCCUUAACCGAUCAACAAACAUUCACUUUUUGCAGGUUAUCUUCAGGGCCACGGCGUUCAUCCGUAUGUGGUCGCUACUCACUCCGACGGAGGCCAGGGAGCGUUUGGUUACUGCGUCUACCCGAUGGGAGAUGGUAGUUCGGGAUAUUUUCAACCGGUUUGGAUGGUCAUGUAAUAGGAUAGGCAUGUAGUGCUCCUAUUGUUUUGCCAGCCGGUUGUGGCUUUGGGCCUUUCUUCUUUUCAGCUUUUGUUGAUGAUUGUACUACGACCUUCCGAGACUUUGUUACUGGAUUAUUCGUUUAAUAAUAUGAGCCGUAUGCAUCGUUCUAAUGCAGAGGCUGGGGUAAAUCCCCUUUUCCAAAAAAAAACUAAUUAC
Molecule: long non-coding RNA, 7357 nt
Filed under: Triticum aestivum (bread wheat)
Lineage: Eukaryota; Viridiplantae; Streptophyta; Magnoliopsida; Poales; Poaceae
Description: long non-coding RNA (TAES_LNC016418)
Source: RNAcentral